This 467-nucleotide ribosomal RNA is filed under the name uncultured bacterium. Its description in RNAcentral is "partial 16S ribosomal RNA". It matches the Rfam family "Bacterial small subunit ribosomal RNA", at positions 28 to 507 of the family's 1533-position model. The record is from RNAcentral.
GAUGAACGCUGGCGGCGUGCUUAACACAUGCAAGUCGAACGGAAAGGCCCAAGCUUGCUUGGGUACUCGAGUGGCGAACGGGUGAGUAACACGUGGGUGAUCUGCCCUGCACUUCGGGAUAAGCCUGGGAAACUGGGUCUAAUACCGGAUAGGACCACAUUUUGGGUGGUGUGGUGGAAAGUUUUUCGGUGUGGGAUGAGCUCGCGGCCUAUCAGCUUGUUGGUGGGGUAAUUGCCUACCAAGGCGUCGACGGGUAGCCGGCCUGAGAGGGUGUACGGCCACAUUGGGACUGAGAUGCGGCCAAGACUCGGACGGGAGGCAGCAAUGGGGAAUAUUGGACAAUGGGCGGAAGCCUGAUGCAGCGACGCCGCGUGGGGGAUGACGGCUGUCGGGUUGGAAACUCCUAUCGCUAGGGACGAAGCGUUUUUGUGACGGUACCUGGAGAAGAAGCAACGGCUAACUACGUG